GGGACGUUAGCUCAGUUGGUAGAGCAGCGGACUUUUAAUCCGUUGGUCACAAGUUCGAAUCUUGUACGUCCUA
Molecule: non-coding RNA, 73 nt
Organism: Acidovorax sp. JS42
Lineage: Bacteria; Pseudomonadati; Pseudomonadota; Betaproteobacteria; Burkholderiales; Comamonadaceae
Source: Rfam